RNAcentral lists this ribosomal RNA (253 nucleotides) under uncultured bacterium. Its description in RNAcentral is "partial 16S ribosomal RNA". It matches the Rfam family "Bacterial small subunit ribosomal RNA", at positions 524 to 776 of the family's 1533-position model. The record is from RNAcentral.
UACGGGGGAGGCAAGCGUUAAUCGGAUUCAUUGGGCGUAAAGGGCGUGUAGGCGGUUCCAUAAGUCAGGUGUUAAAGACCACGGCUCACCCGUGGAAGUGCGCCUGAUACUGAGGGGCUUGAGUGCAGAAGAGGCAAGCGGAAUUCCAGGUGUAGCGGUGAAAUGCGUAGAUAUCGGGAGGAACACCUGUGGCGAAGGCGGCUUGCUGGUCUGCAACUGACGCUGAGGCGAGAAAGCCAGGGGAGCGAACGGG